AACGAACGCUGGCGGCAUGCCUAACACAUGCAAGUCGAACGAGACCUUCGGGUCUAGUGGCGCACGGGUGCGUAACACGUGGGAAUUUGCCUCGGGGUAUGGAAUAACUCAGGGAAACUUGAGCUAAUACCAUAUAAUGUCUUCGGACCAAAGAUUUAUCGCCCUGAGAUAAGCCCGCGUAGGAUUAGCUAGUUGGUGGGGUAAAGGCUCACCAAGGCGACGAUCCUUAGCUGGUCUGAGAGGAUGAUCAGUCACACUGGAACUGAGACACGGACCAGACUCCUACGGGAGGCAGCAGUGAGGAAUAUUGGACAAUGGGCGCAAGCCUGAUCCAGCCAUGCCGCGUGCAGGAUGACGGUCCUAUGGAUUGUAAACUGCUUUUGUACAGGAAGAAACACUCCCUCGUGAGGGAGCUUGACGGUACUGUAAGAAUAAGGAUCGGCUAACUCCGUGCCAGCAGCCGCGGUAAAGUGACUACUG
This 480-nucleotide ribosomal RNA is filed under the name uncultured bacterium. Its description in RNAcentral is "bacterial SSU rRNA". It matches the Rfam family "Bacterial small subunit ribosomal RNA", at positions 29 to 537 of the family's 1533-position model. The record is from RNAcentral.